Molecule: long non-coding RNA, 624 nt
Organism: Zingiber officinale
Lineage: Eukaryota; Viridiplantae; Streptophyta; Magnoliopsida; Zingiberales; Zingiberaceae
Exons: 4
Source: RefSeq, a predicted model, not a curated record
GAUCCUUUCUCCCUUCUUCCUCUUGUUCUCUCUCGCGGAUGAACCGAAGCCAGCAAACCUUCGGAAAUCGUUGACGUCGCCUGGGGAGUACAUCGCCGGAGCUUGCCGGAGACCAAACCUGGAGGCUUGGAUCAUCCUGAUCUACUAUUCUCAUGUCUUCCCCGAGCUUUCCUCCUGGUUCUGCCGAUCCUUUCUCCCCCGAUCCGACGCCACUGAAUCGAUCCAAGAUCCAUCGAUCACCGGCGUGAAGGUGCCUUAGGGCUUCGAGGGUCACGGAUUGGAGACGUUGGGGAUCAGUGAGUUGUGCUUGGGUUGUCGGGCAGAGACUAGAGGGUCUGAUGCUUGAUCAGUGGACCUCCUCUUCGUUGUUGUUGACUGAGGUCCAGAUUGGAGCUGCUUGAUUAGGGCAGUGCGGUGAGGAGAGGUUCUAUUCUGUGAUCGUGAUGUGAAUCCAUCAAUGAUGAUCUGUUGAAGGUGAUCUUGGUUCAUGUGGUGUUUCCUUGCCGCCAGUACUCCAACCAGCAGCUCUUCUGGUUCCAGCAUCAACAGUAGCUGGGAAUUAAGGAUUCUGAUUCGAGAUGGGCGUCUCGACUUUGGAUUGCUUGACAGUACCUUCUAUUUGAG